Molecule: ribosomal RNA, 492 nt
Filed under: uncultured bacterium
Lineage: Bacteria
Description: partial 16S ribosomal RNA
Rfam family: Bacterial small subunit ribosomal RNA
Source: RNAcentral
AGUGAACGCUGGCGGUAGGCCUAACACAUGCAAGUCGAACGGCAGCACAGUAAGAGCUUGCUCUUACGGGUGGCGAGUGGCGGACGGGUGAGGAAUACAUCGGACUCUACUUUUUCGUGGGGGAUAACGUAGGGAAAUUUACGCUAAUACCGCAUACGACCUACGGGUGAAAGCAGGGGAUCUUCGGACCUUGCGCGAUUGAAUGAGCCGAUGUCGGAUUAGCUAGUUGGCGGGGUAAAGGCCCACCAAGGCGACGAUCCGUAGCUGGUCUGAGAGGAUGAUCAGCCACACUGGAACUGAGACACGGUCCAGACUCCUACGGGAGGCAGCAGUGGGGAAUAUUGGACAAUGGGCGCAAGCCUGAUCCAGCCAUACCGCGUGGGUGAAGAAGGCCUUCGGGUUGUAAAGCCCUUUUGUUGGGAAAGAAAAGCAGCAGGUUAAUACCCCGCUGUUCUGACGGUACCCAAAGAAUAAGCACCGGCUAACUUCGUG